GGCCUUGAGGUGGUUCACAUUAGAUUGCAAACCUAGGGUUGUAGAUUAUAUUCUGCCGGGGCUU
Molecule: transfer RNA, 64 nt
Filed under: Trigonopoma gracile (blackstripe rasbora)
Lineage: Eukaryota; Metazoa; Chordata; Actinopteri; Cypriniformes; Danionidae
Description: tRNA-Cys
Source: RNAcentral